This 245-nucleotide ribosomal RNA is filed under the name uncultured bacterium. RNAcentral describes it as "partial 16S ribosomal RNA". It matches the Rfam family "Bacterial small subunit ribosomal RNA", at positions 524 to 768 of the family's 1533-position model. The record is from RNAcentral.
UACGGAGGAUGCAGGCGUUAUCCGGAUUUAUUAGGUUUAAAGGGUGCGUAGGCGGAAUAAUAAGUCAGUGGUGAAAUCCUUCAGCUUAACUGGAGAACUGCCAUUGAUACUGUUAUUCUUGAAUGCAGUUGAGGUAGGCGGAAUGUGUGGUGUAGCGGUGAAAUGCUUAGAUAUCACACAGAACACCGAUUGCGAAGGCAGCUUACUAAAUUGUGAUUGACGCUGAGGCACGAAAGCGUGGGGAU